This is a long non-coding RNA of Herpailurus yagouaroundi (jaguarundi), 417 nucleotides long. RefSeq lists it as uncharacterized. The record is from RefSeq and is a predicted model, not a curated record. NCBI's taxonomy places the organism in Eukaryota, Metazoa, Chordata, Mammalia, Carnivora, Felidae. The transcript is spliced from 3 exons.
GUUGCAUAUUAUGUAGAGGGAAGGUAACGUGUUCCUUUAUUUCACAAGCCCACAGAUCAAGAGGAACUCUACAGGAAGAGCUGUAUUUGAGAAAUUCGUCCGGGGAGCCUCAUCUGAACCUGGACCUGAUUAGAUGACAAGGCCUAGGACUUCAAAUUGAUGCUGCAGCUUAAUGAGACGUGGGGACCUUGGAAAGAGCCAUACCUGACCAAUCAUCACCUAAAAGAACAGAACAACCCACCACACAGGACUGAUGCAAGACUGGUAACUGAAUACCUAUUACAUGCCACAUAGAGUCCUGUCAACAGCCCCGCAAAGUAAAUGCUACUGGCCCUCCUUUAUUGGUGAAACCCUGGGGAAACAGCAGCGAACCCAAUGCAAUCUGUCCUCAAGCAGCAGCACCCAUCCAAGCAGAGA